This 7965-nucleotide long non-coding RNA is filed under the name Lactuca sativa (garden lettuce). RNAcentral's name for it is "long non-coding RNA (LSAT_LNC003333)". The record is from RNAcentral. Lineage: Eukaryota; Viridiplantae; Streptophyta; Magnoliopsida; Asterales; Asteraceae.
GAUUUUAGCCAUAAGAAUUUUCCUAUGUGCGCAUGCAAAACCCUAAUGCUCGGAUCUAGGCUUUCUAAUUAAACAUGCUUUGAAUCCAAGACUUCUAAUGACUAAUUAGAUAUAAGAACAAUAUAAAAUCAGAUCUAGAAGUUUACCUUUGAACCUCUUGUUUGAUCUUGUUGUCUUGGAGCUCUAGAGUCACAAUUGUCACUCCUCUAAUGGCUUACAAACACCAACUAGCAAAGAUGAUGAUUUGAUAGAGAGAUUAGGGAUGAAAUUCGGCUAGGGUUUCUUCUCCUUAGAAGAGGUGCCAACCCCCUUAGCUCUAGGGGUCUAUUUAUACUUGUAGACUCCUUAAGGGUUUCACCUUAAACCCUAGUUGGAUAAUCUUUUCUUAAAGCAAUCCAAAUCCCUACCAUGGAUAAGCCUUGGACAAUUUUGAGCUAUCCUUAGCUCUAGAAUUCGUCCAUCCUCUAUCCAAUAAGGAUUUACAGUCUAAAGUGUAACUAUCAAACCAUUGACAGUUUAUACCCUCUUAUUUAAUUAAUCUCUUUAAGUCACCAAAUUAAUUCUAAUUAAUUCUAUGACUUAUAUUAAUCAAAUAACAAUAUUAUUAUUCUUUAUAUUAUUCUCAUAAUAUAUUAAUAAUAUUUAUUCUCUCAUAAUAAAUCAUCCUGUCAAGUUGCUAUGGUGAAGGCAACCCAAAAGGACCAUGCACAAUCGGGUCAAAUACUUGCCUAAUAUAGUUGCAGCCUUAGACACUAUUCCAACAGUCUCUCACUUGGAUAAGUCUAGUAACUAUAUGCACAAGUACAAUCUGAUUUGCAAUCGUAGCUCUCAAAGACGCUGUCAAACUCUGAUCUAAUCAAUCUUGUCCUUUAGAUAAGGGAUCGUACAGUCCUCUGUUAGAUAUCAUGCUGACAAUUCUAUGGAAUGAUUAGUCAAGCAUUUAGGUUUCUCGAUCUCUGAUUUAUUUGACAUAGAACUUAAUCGAACACAUCAAUUCAGUUCUGACCGGGCCCGGCACAUAAGUCAAAUCAAAUCAUCGAGCGGCCGAGAUAUCGCUUUUACCUUCUUAGAUAAAAGUUACAGAUAAACUUCGACUUAUAUGCAUUUACUUAUUCAUUAACCAACUAUACACAACAAUACGUUUUAUAACACCAAGUUACUGAUGCGUUUUCGUAUUAUCAAUGUACAAUCAAUUAACAAAUAAUAAACCAUAUAUCUAGGUUUUAAGACUAUAUGAUAUUAUCGUCUUGCGAUCACCUUUUAUAUCGUAUUCCAUAAGGUGAUUCCAGCAAGCGCGGGUUUAUUCCAAUGCUCAAAACUAGUUCAUAAGCACUCAUGAACGUUGCAGCAAUCCUUUGCUAUGUCUAACACCAUUUAGACAUUCUACACACCAAUUCAUGACAAUCUUCAUUCAUAUCUACUUCCAACAUAUGAACGAUUGUGGACCAUUUGAACAAUUCGAUUAUUCCUAAUAAACUCAAUUAUUCUGGAAGUCAAAACAUGCAAAGUGAAACAAUAGCUAAACAAUUAACAUAAGAUAGUAACAUUACUCAUAAAUAAAACUCCUUUAUUUAAUCAUCAAAUGUCAAUUACAUUUAUCUAUUACACGUUUCUAAUACUAUCUAAUCUAUGCUAAUAUCAUCCUUCAGCCCAAUACUCCUAGCAUGCUGCAAGUGCUUAACCCUACUCAGUCCCUUCGUAAGCGGAUCUGCUGGGUUAUCUUCUGAUGAUAUCCUCUUCACUACGAGUUGUCCUUCUUCUACACGAUGUCUAAUGAAGUGAUACUUUCUGUCGAUAUGUCUUGAUCUACCAUGAUCCCUCGGUUCCUUGGUCAAGGCAACCGCGCCUUCGUUAUCACAGAAAAUCUCCAUUGGCUCCUUUAUGGCAGGUACAACUCCAAGAUCACCGAUGAAGUUCUUUAGCCAUAUUGCCUCCUUCGACGCUUCGCUCGCUGCAAUGUACUCUGAUUCGCACGUUGAAUCAGCUACGGUUUCCUGCUUGGAACUCUUCCAUGUCACUGCUCCUCCAUUUAGGGUAAAGACCCAGCCCGACUGCGAACGGUAGUUGUCCCUGUCGGUCUGAAAACUGGCGUCACUAUACCCUCGCACCUUCAAGUCAUCACUCCCUCCGAGGACUAAGAACCAUUCCUUCGUCCUCCGAAGGUACUUAAGGAUAUUCUUCACCGCAAUCCAAUGUGCUUUGCCAGGAUUCCCUUGAUAUCUGCUAACCAUGCUCAAAGCGAAGGCUACAUCAGGGCGAGUACAAGUCAUAGCGUACAUGAUUGAGCCAACUGCGGAAGCGUAUGGUACUCGGCUCAUUUCUGCUAUCUCAGCUUCGGUACUCGGACUUUGAGUCUUACUCAAUUUGGCAUUACUUUGUAUCGGUAGUUCUCCCUUCUUUGAGUUUUCCAUACUAAAACGUUUUAGUACCUUCUCUAAGUAAGUAUUCUGACUAAGUCCAAUUAGUCUCUUACUUCUUUCUCUUACUAUCCUUAUUCCCAAAAUGUAAGAAGCCUCUCCGAGGUCCUUCAUAGCGAAGCACUUCCCGAGCCAGGACUUAACCUCCUGCAGAGUCGGGAUGUCGUUUCCUAUGAGUAAUAUGUCAUCGACAUAUAGAACGAGGAAGCUUACUAUACUCCCACUGGCUUUGACAUAUACACAAGAUUCGUCUUCGCUUCGUACAAAUCCAAACUCUUUGACUUUCUCAUCGAAGCAAAGAUUCCAUCUGCGAGACGCUUGCUUAAGUCCAUAAAUGGACUUCUCAAGCUUACACACUCUAUUCGGAUGCUUCGGAUCCACAAACCCCUCUGGCUGAGCCAUGUAAACAUCCUCAGCCAACUUUCCGUUAAGGAAAGCGGUCUUGACAUCCAUUUGCCAAAUCUCAUAAUCAUGAAAUGCGGCAAUUGCUAGCAUCACUCUAAUAGAUUUAAUCUUCGCAACUGGUGAGAAGGUCUCAUCAUAGUCAACUCCGGGAGUUUGAGUAAAGCCCUUCGCAACCAAUCGCGCUUUAUAUGUGUGUACGUUUCCAUCCACGUCGGUCUUCUUCUUGAAGAUCCAUUUGCACCCAACGGUCUUACGUCCGGGCACAUAAUCAACCAAAUUCCAAACUUGGUUAUCAUACAUGGAUUGGAUCUCGCUAUCCAUUGCCUCUUUCCAUUUUGCAGACUCCGGGCCUGCCAUGGCUUCCUUAUAGCUAUUAGGUUCAUCAAGAUUUAUUAGUGUACCAUCACUAAUAUACGUGUCCCCUUCGGUAGUAAUAUGAAAACCAUAAAACUGGGGUUGAACUCUAACUCUAUCGGAACGUCUAAGAGGUAAGGAUUCGUCAAUCGGUUCAACCGGAGUUUCCUCCUCGGGUUGAGUGCCAGCGGUAGAGGUUCCUUCAUCUAUCGACUCUUGAAUCUCUUCAAGCUCGAUUUGCCUCCCACUGUCUCCUUGGCUUAUGAGUUCUCGCUCUCGGAAAACUCCUCUCCUCGCAACGAAGACAACAUUGUCCUUCGGUCUAUAGAAGAGAUAUCCAAAGGAUGUCUGCGGGUAGCCGAUGAAAAUACAUCGCUCACUUCGAGGUUCAAGCUUGUCGUGAGUAUCUCGUCUUACGAAAGCCUCGCAACCCCAAACCUUGAUAUGUGCCAACGAGGGAGCUUUCCCUGUCCACAUCUCGUGAGGUGUUUUGGCAACCUUCUUAGUAGGGACUCGGUUAAGGAUAUGGGCGGCAGUCUCUAAGGCAUACCCCCAAAAAGAGAUAGGUAGUGAAGCACGACUCAUCAUAGAGCGAACCAUAUCCAAUAAGGUUCGAUUACGCCUUUCUGCCACACCAUUCAACUGCGGUGUCCUAGGAGGCGUCAAUUGCGAAACUAUUCCACACUCCUUGAGAUAAUCGUGGAAUUCAAGACUUAGGUACUCUCCUCCUCGAUCGGAUCGAAGCAUCUUGAUUUUCCUGCCCAAUUGAUUCUCCACUUCAUUCUUGAACUCUUUGAACUUUUCAAAGGUGUCUGACUUUUGCUUGAUUAAGUAGAUAUACCCAUAUCUACUAUAGUCAUCGGUAAAAGUCACAUAGAAGCGGUUCCCAUCCUUCGUGGUUGAUCUAAACGGUCCACAUACAUCGGUAUGUAUUAGGUCCAAUAGACCCUCGCCCCUUUCACAUGUACUCGUGAAGGGUGACUUAGUCAUCUUUCCAAGCAAACAAGACUCGCAUGUGUCAUCUUCCCUAAGGUCGAAUGACUCCAACACUCCAUCCUUUUGGAGUUGGGCUAUGCGUUUCUUGUUGACAUGUCCAAGACGACAAUGCCACAAGGAUGCUUUAUCCAUACUAGUGGAAGAAUCAAUAUUCAAAACAUCAUUUCCUAAGUUAUCAACAAUCAUAACGGUUUCAUAUAUUCCAUUACAUGGUAUAGCUUCAAAGUAAAAGACACCAUUUAGAUAAGCCAAAAUAGAACCAUUCUCAUUAUUAAAAGAAAAUCUAAAUCCUUGUCUAUAUAAACCAUGAAAUGAAAUGAUGUUUCUUGCCAUUUCUGGCGAAUAGCAACAAUUGUUCAAAUCUAAAACUAAACUAUUCCUAAGCACUAAGGAAUACACUCCAAUCUUGGUCACAGGCGACGAUCUUCUGUUCCCCAUGAUUAGAUUGAUCCUUCCUUGCUCCACAUCCCUACUUCUUCUUAGUCCCUGCACAUUAGAACAAAUGUGAUAACCACAACCGGUAUCAAGAACCCAAGAAAUAGCAUGAUUAGAAUCGUUAGAUUUGAUUGUAUAUAUACCUGCGAAAGAUGGCUUGAUCUUUCCUUCUUUGAUUGCUUGCAGGUAAUCCGGGCAGCUUCUCUUCCAAUGUCCUAUCUUGUGGCAGUGGUGGCACUCUGCCUCCUUCGGGUUAGAGCAGGGCUUGGCGGGAUCAACUUUGGUCCCACUAGAAGAGGCACCAUCUCGGGCUUUCACCUUGCGAUAGUUCUUCGAUGAAGCUUUCCUCUUCUUUCCCUUCCCUUGUCCAAUAGCCAAGACAGGAGCAGCGGGCGGAUUGGGAGUAGGUGCAACAGACUUGUCUUUGAAGUUGCUCUCAGCAACCCUCAAGAGACCUUGGAGCUUGCUUAGGGUGACCUCUUCUUUGUUCAUGUGGUAGGUCAUCCUAAAUUGGUUGUACAUCGGAGGCAAAGAGUGAAGCACCAUGUCGAUCGCCAAGUCUUCACCGAAGUCAACAUUUAACUUGCGAAGGCGGUCAACAUACCUUUGCAUCUUUUGCAAGUGCACGGUAAGAGAUUCUCCAUGACCCAUCUUCGCGGAAAUCAUGUUAGUGAAAAUCUCGUACCUCUCUUGUCUCGCGUUUUGGUGGUACCUCUCCAAUAAGUCUUGAUGCAUCUCGUACGGGUACAUGUCCUCGUAGGACUUUUGGAAUUCGGAGUUCAUGGUGGCGAUCAUGAUGCAAUGUACCUUCGUUGCAUCUCGCUCAUGAGUUUCAAAGGCGGUGAUUUCGGCGGGAGUAGCAAUUUCGGGGUUGAUUUUCUCGAGCUUCUCAUCGAGGACAUACUCCUUAUCCUCAUAGCGAGCAAUGGUGCGAAUGUAUCUUAUCCAUUCGCUAAAGUUCGUUCCAUCGAAGGUGACCUUUUGGCAAAGGCUCAUCAACGUGAAAGAACUAGCAGCAGCGUUGUUUGCGUUCGACAUCUACAAUUAGAAAAGGACAAAGAUAGAUUAGAAUAAGAAUCCCUAAUUAUCACCCAAUAAGAAAAUUAGGGCUAGGAUCCAACAAUAACAUUUACAUACUAGAAAAGGGAUGCCGUAAUCUAACAUGCAAAUAAAUUGAAGGUAAGUGAAUGACGAUUCACUAAUUCUCCAUCACAAAACUUAAACUAUUAGUCCUAAGUGUUUUUGAGAAUUCCUAGGUUCGGAUGAGAUUCAUUGAAACUAUUCAAUGGCAUGUUUAAAUCUCGAUAUGCCCCUCUUGUUUGUGACUGGGAUGCCGAGGAUCACAAAGCGGGUGUGAAUUACCAUGCAAAUUCACAUGGUGCCUUCAUUGUAACGAUCACCUAUUCGAUGUGCCGGUAAACCACACACGCUCCAUCGAACUAUGAUAAACAAUGAAUCACCCUUUGCCACCUUCGCUUAGAACCAAUUAGUGUGCCGGUAAACCACACACGCUCCACUAACAUCUUAGCAAGGUGCAAAGUGUAAUUUCAUGGGAUUGCAUCAAUUCACUUUUCCUAAAGUAACUAGGAUUGGGAAAUUUUAAAAAAAUAUGUAGUUACUUUAUAUUUCUUAUUAUACUUUUAAUGAGAGGAUGAGGUUGCCCUAUCCUACCCGUUCGGCUAACGACCCUCCACCAAUCAAGCAAGCGGUGGGUGUGAGUGUACACCCAUUAAGCGCCAUUUUAUAGGCCGCAACCUUAUACCCACCUUAUAGAUCGGCUUCGUGAAUGAGGCCUACUAACGGUAAGACUAGCAUUUAGUUAUACAUAUAUAUAUUAUUCUAGUAAUAUCAUAUUAGUAUAGGGUUGUAUUUUAAAACUUUUAAAAUCUAGGGUUUGAAAUUUAAGUUGUCUAAAUUAAAACUUUUAAUCACAAAAGUAAAUUUCAAAACAUGAGGGUAGGUUUUAAACAUUUAAAACAUGGAGGAUCAAAUAACAAAUAAUUCCAAUUAACAAUUAAUAUCCUAAUUAUCUAUAUUUGAUUUAUUCAAGAUUUCUUUUAAAGAUAAUUACCAAAAUAAUCAAAAUAAUUAAUUAAUUAUCAUAUAAGGAAAUUAAAUAUUUAAUUAGUUGAUAAUUACCUUUAACUAGAUCAAGAUAAUAGUUAUAUUUAUCAGAAAAACGAAUUAAUGUUGAUCUAAUUAGUUUAUGGUAAGUUAAGAUAAGAUAAACACAAAGAAAUCCCGAAUCUGGCCAUUCCUGACGCCUGGACUCGCCGAGUGCACAAAUGGACUCGCCGAGUCAGGCCUACUCGCCGAGUCCACUUUGAGACUCGCCGAGUCCAUGACUCAGAAACCAAAAAUUCGAAUUUUGCAGGUUUGUUUCAGUUAAUCAAGCAACAAUUUACAGAAAACCAAGCUAGGCUCUGAUACCACUGAUGGGUUUUAGCCAUAAGAACUUUCCUAUGUGCGCAUGCAAAACCCUAAUGCUUGGAUCUAGGCUUUCUAAUAAACAUGCUUUGAAUCCAAGACUUCUAAUUACUAAUUAGGUUAAACAAGAACAUUAAAACAGAUCUAGAAUCAUACCUUUGAGUUCCUUGUUGAUCUUGAGGUCUUGGAGCUUCUAGAGUCACAAAUGUCACUCCUCUAAUGGCUUACAAACACCAAAGCAAGGAGGAUGAUUUGGGAGAGAGGAGAGGGGAGGAAUUUCGACCAGAGGUUCCUUACUUUAGGUCAAGUGUCGAAUUCCAUCAGCCAUGGGGUCUAUUUAUACUUGUAGACUCCUUAAGGGUUUCACCUUAAACCCCAGUUGGAUAAUCUUUCAUUAAAGCAAUCCAAAUCCCUACCAUGGAUAAUCCUUGGACGAUUUUGAGCUAUCCUUAGCUCUAGAAUUCGUCCAUCCUCUAUCCAAUAAGGAUUUACAGUCUAAAGUGUAACUAUCAAACAAUUGACAGUUUAUACCCUCUUAUUAAAUUAAUCUCUUUAAGUCACCAAAUUAAUUCUAAUUAAUUCUAUGACUUUAAUUAAUCAAAUAACAAUAUUAUUAUUCCUUAUAUUAUACUUAUAGUAUAUAAAUAAUAUUUAUUCUCUCAUAAUAAAUCAUCCUGACAAGUUGCUAUGGUGAAGGCAACCCAAAAGGACCAUGCACAAUCAGGUCAAAUACUUGCCUAAUAUAGUUGCAGCCUUAGACACUAUUCCAACAGAUAGCAAGUAUAAUUAAUCAUACAGAUCUAGCAAGCUAACAUAUAAUGCCUAUAGCAUCAUCCUAUAUACUAGGAUAUGACCUAGUGGGUCGGCAUUGGUGCCUUCAACCCACAAGUAUAGUGAAAAUAAACUCACUUGAAACGAAGGACCCAGAAAC